Molecule: non-coding RNA, 124 nt
Organism: Triticum aestivum (bread wheat)
Lineage: Eukaryota; Viridiplantae; Streptophyta; Magnoliopsida; Poales; Poaceae
Source: Rfam
GUGGUACUCCCUCCGCCCGAAAAUACUUGUCCAAGGAUGGAUGUAUCUAGAUAUAUUUUAAUUCUAGAUACAUCAAUUUGUGUCAAUUUCUCCGACAAGUAUUUCCGGACGGAGGGAGUAGUUU